AUUGAACGCUGGCGGCAUGCCUUACACAUGUAAGUCGAACGGCAGCACGGGUGCUUGCACCUGGUGGCGAGUGGCGAACGGGUGAGUAAUACAUCGGAACAUGUCCUGUAGUGGGGGAUAGCCCGGCGAAAGCCGGAUUAAUACCGCAUACGAUCUACGGAUGAAAGCGGGGGACCUUGGGGCCUCGCGCUAUAGGGUUGGCCGAUGGCUGAUUAGCUAGUUGGUGGGGUAAAGGCCUACCAAGGCGACGAUCAGUAGCUGGUCUGAGAGGACGACCAGCCACACUGGGACUGAGACACGGCCCAGACUCCUACGGGAGGCAGCAGUGGGGAAUUUUGGACAAUGGGCGAAAGCCUGAUCCAGCAAUGCCGCGUGUGUGAAGAAGGCCUUCGGGUUGUAAAGCACUUUUGUCCGGAAAGAAAUCCUUGGCCCUAAUACGGUCGGGGGAUGACGGUACCGGAAGAAUAAGCACCGGCUAACUACGUG
Molecule: ribosomal RNA, 486 nt
Filed under: uncultured bacterium
Lineage: Bacteria
Description: partial 16S ribosomal RNA
Rfam family: Bacterial small subunit ribosomal RNA
Source: RNAcentral